This 776-nucleotide long non-coding RNA is filed under the name Dromaius novaehollandiae (emu). Its description in RNAcentral is "lncRNA (ENSDNVG00000006927.1)". The record is from RNAcentral. Lineage: Eukaryota; Metazoa; Chordata; Aves; Casuariiformes; Dromaiidae.
AUGCUUGAUGGCUGUCAUGAAAUUCUGACAAAGAUUUGGAGAGAGACUUACAUAAAUUCCUGCAUCCUCAAUGACUGUGGGAAGGGCCUUCCUUCACUAAUCAAGACUUCUUCUGUCUGCACUGGUGCCUGGUGUCUGUGCUUGGAAAAACAAAAUGAGUAGCGUCAGUGCGUAACUUAAUUGCUUUGAACCAAGAGCAUGUGGUCCUGCCUGGACCGAAUGACCGCCACGCGAUGUACUGUCACCUUGUCCUUCUGGGCCUUUCAAUCCACUUGCGUUUGAAACCCAGGCUCGUUGUUUUUACCUCCUCUGCACAGUCCUUGACGAGGAUGUCAGGCUGCUGAAGAUGUGCUCCUGCACGCUUGGGGACACUGCCUGGUUUCCGAGGCAGUCCAGCUGUGGAUAGAAACAUUACCUUGGCAUUUCUCCCAACUGGGAAUGCAGUCUGUUUAUGUGUUCUGUUAGGAAAGGUGCAUGACAAGGUGUCAUUCUCCUAGCUGUGUGUCUUCCUUUUCCUAGGACAAAUAUAGAAAAGAUUGGAAGUUUGCACAAGAAGUGGUCGCUUAUUAAUGCUAUUGACAUUAGGUGAGUUUAGAUGUCUAACCUAAGUGUUGGUGGCCCAAUUCUCUAUAUGACCAAAGGAGUGAGGUGUGCACUUCCAAUACAGAGCACUGAAGAGAAGUGCCCAAGGUACUUUUAGGUAGACAGUCAGUGAUGCCUGAGUCUCUCUCUAAUCCUUCAGACCCUGAUCCGAUUUUCAGUUACUUCAGCAGCAG